GGAUAACCUGCCCUUGGGUCCGGGCAUAACCCNGGGAAACUGGGGAAUAAUUCCGGAUAACGCACAUAUGCUGGAAUGCUUUAUGCGUCAAAUGGAUUCGUCUGCCCAAGGAUGGGUCUGCGGCCUAUCAGGUAGUAGUGGGUGUAAUGUACCUACUAGCCGACGACGGGUACGGGUUGUGAGAGCAAGAGCCCGGAGAUGGAUUCUGAGACAUGAAUCCAGGCCCUACGGGGCGCAGCAGGCGCGAAAACUUUACAAUGCGGGAAACCGUGAUAAGGGGACACCGAGUGCCAGCGUCAUACGCUGGCUGUCCAGAUGUGUAAAAUACAUCUGUUAGCAAGGGCCGGGCAAGACCGGUGCCAGCCGCCGCGGUAACACCGGCGGCCCGAGUGGUGAUCGUGAUUAUUGGGUCUAAAGGGUCCGUAGCCGGUUUGGUCAGUCCUCCGGGAAAUCUGAUAGCUCAACUGUUAGGCUUUCGGGGGAUACUGCCAGACUUGGAACCGGGAGAGGUAAGAGGUACUACAGGGGUAGGAGUGAAAUCUUGUAAUCCCUGUGGGACCACCUGUGGCGAAGGCGUCUUACCAGAACGGGUUCGACGGUGAGGGACGAAAGCUGGGGGCACGAACCGGAUUAGAUACCCGGGUAGUCCCAGCCGUAAACGAUGCUCGCUAGGUGUCAGGCAUGGCGCGACCGUGUCUGGUGCCGCAGGGAAGCCGUGAAGCGAGCCACCUGGGAAGUACGGCCGCAAGGCUGAAACUUAA
RNAcentral lists this ribosomal RNA (761 nucleotides) under uncultured archaeon. Its description in RNAcentral is "bacterial SSU rRNA". It matches the Rfam family "Archaeal small subunit ribosomal RNA", at positions 102 to 859 of the family's 1478-position model. The record is from RNAcentral.